Molecule: ribosomal RNA, 252 nt
Filed under: uncultured bacterium
Lineage: Bacteria
Description: partial 16S ribosomal RNA
Rfam family: Bacterial small subunit ribosomal RNA
Source: RNAcentral
UACAGAGGUCCCAAGCGUUGUUCGGAUUCACUGGGCGUAAAGGGUGCGUAGGUGGUCGGGUAAGUUUGAUGUGAAAUCUCCGGGCUUAACCCGGAAAUGGCAUUGAAUACUAUUCGGUUGGAGGGGUGGAGGGGGACUGGAAUUCUCGGUGUAGCAGUGAAAUGCGUAGAUAUCGAGAGGAACACCAGUGGCGAAGGCGAGUCACUGGACAACACCUGACACUGAGGCACGAAAGCGAGGGGAGCAAACAGG